AGAACGACUCUCGGCAACGGAUAUCUCGGCUCUCGCAUCGAUGAAGAACGUAGCGAAAUGCGAUACUUGGUGUGAAUUGCAGAAUCCCGUGAACCAUCGAGUCUUUGAACGCAAGUUGCGCCCGAAGCCAUCANGUCGAGGGCACGUCUGCCUGGGCGUCACAC
This 164-nucleotide ribosomal RNA is filed under the name Ficus chartacea. Its description in RNAcentral is "5.8S ribosomal RNA". It matches the Rfam family "5.8S ribosomal RNA". Rfam says of the family: 5.8S ribosomal RNA (5.8S rRNA) is a component of the large subunit of the eukaryotic ribosome. It is transcribed by RNA polymerase I as part of the 45S precursor that also contains 18S and 28S rRNA. Functionally, it is thought that 5.8S rRNA may be involved in ribosome translocation. The record is from RNAcentral. Lineage: Eukaryota; Viridiplantae; Streptophyta; Magnoliopsida; Rosales; Moraceae.